RNAcentral lists this ribosomal RNA (29 nucleotides) under Phytophthora cinnamomi. RNAcentral describes it as "partial 5.8S ribosomal RNA". Lineage: Eukaryota; Oomycota; Peronosporomycetes; Peronosporales; Peronosporaceae. RNAcentral also lists the same sequence under 7 other names. The record is from RNAcentral.
GCAACUUUCAGCAGUGGAUGUCUAGGCUC